GAUGAAGAACGUAGCGAAAUGCGAUAAGUAAUGUGAAUUGCAGAAUUCAGUGAAUCAUCGAAUCUUUGAACGCACCUUGCGCCCUUUGGCUAUUCCGAAGGGCAUGCCUGUUUGAGUAUCAUGAACACCUCAACUCUCAUGGCUUGCCAUGAUGAGCUUGGACUUUGGGGGUCUUGCUGGCCUGUGGUCAGCUCCUCUCAAAUGAAUUAGCUUGCCAGUGUUUGGUGGCAUCACGGGUGUGAUAACUAUCUACGCUUGUGGUCCCGCCACCAGGUUAACCUUCCAGUGAUGGGGGUUCGCUGGGGCUUAUAAAUGUCUCUCCUCAGUGAGGACAGCUCUUUGAACGUUUGAUCUCAAAUCAGGUAGGACUACCCGCUGAACUUAAGCAUAUCAAUAAGCGGAGGA
Molecule: unclassified non-coding RNA, 405 nt
Filed under: soil metagenome
Description: partial contains 5.8S ribosomal RNA, internal transcribed spacer 2, and large subunit ribosomal RNA
Rfam family: 5.8S ribosomal RNA (bases 1-121)
Source: RNAcentral